RNAcentral lists this transfer RNA (81 nucleotides) under Paragonimus skrjabini miyazakii. RNAcentral describes it as "Paragonimus miyazakii tRNA-Asn". The record is from RNAcentral. Lineage: Eukaryota; Metazoa; Platyhelminthes; Trematoda; Plagiorchiida; Troglotrematidae.
GGCUUCGUAGCUCAGCCGGUAGAGCGCCUGCCGCGUUGAGGCCUGGUGUUUCUGUCGCUGGUCCCAAUCCAGCGGAAGCCC